GUGAUCUUGGAGAAGUUCUCUUUGAAUAAGGAACAUAAUUCUUGUUGCUUGAGUAACUCUCACGUAAACUGGGAGUGUAAUAACCUUCUUCAUUGCUGACAGUGGAGCCUUGUGGAGUAUGAAAUGCAGUGUCAUGACUCUCCUCAUCUGAUGAUGACAUUGCAGUAGGUGAAUUAAUGCUUGGAGGAGGUUGGGGUUUGCUCAAUGGUGGAAGGGGUUGAAGGUCAGGACUUGGUCUAUACCUGCUGUCCAUUCUUUUCACAGAGCUCAAUUUUCGAUAAGGUGAGCCAGUAGCAUCAUUGGAAUCAGUCAUAGCUGAUGUCUUAGCAGGUGGCUCAACUGUCCCAAUGUAAAGGAAAGUCGAAGGCGGCGUUCUUGAUUCCUCAUUGAUCCUCUGAUCAGAAUUUCUCCUCACAAGCUUUUGAGUUUCAUCUGGGUGCAUUAACCCG
RNAcentral lists this unclassified non-coding RNA (449 nucleotides) under Hevea brasiliensis (rubber tree). Lineage: Eukaryota; Viridiplantae; Streptophyta; Magnoliopsida; Malpighiales; Euphorbiaceae. The record is from RNAcentral.